RNAcentral lists this long non-coding RNA (511 nucleotides) under Homo sapiens (human). RNAcentral describes it as "HSALNT0306430". Lineage: Eukaryota; Metazoa; Chordata; Mammalia; Primates; Hominidae. The record is from RNAcentral.
GUAACUUCUGUGGCAAAAAGUCUGGUGUGGCUGUACACUACAGUAUUUGUGCAUUCAUCAAAUAUUCUCCUGAUCAUGUAUUGAUAGGUUCCUUUUUUCUGUUUUUAUGUUUUAGAGACUAUCUUAAGAAGUCAGGAGAUGGAGUCUCGCUCUUGUCACCAGGCUAGAGUGCAGUGGCACAAUCUCAGCUCACUGCAGCCUCUGCCUUCUGGGUUCAAGCAAUCCUCCUGCCUCAGCCUCCCGAGUAGCUGGGAUUACAGGCGCCCACCACCAUGCCCAGAUAAUUUUUGUAUUUUUAGUAGAGACAGAGUUUCACCAUGUUGGCCAGGCUGGUUUCGAACUCCUGGCCUCAGAUGAUCCACCUGCCUCGGCCUCCGAAAGUGCCGGAAUUACAGGUGUGAGCCACCACACCCGGCCAAAUUAUACCAAGAUUUAACAAAAUAACAGACAUAUAUUAAAAUAUUAAGAAUCAUUUUGUUCAAAGUCAAAAAUCACUAAUACGGGCCUUUUU